UACCGAAUUGGAUUUGGUUUAUAAAUAUAUGUGCAUGCUUGACUAGUUAUGUUGGUUCCAUUGAAUAUCAAACGAAGAUCCUUGGCAUAUUGAUUAUGGUAGUAAGAUGUCAGUGUGAACCUUCACUUGCAGUCUUGGUGUUUUGAAAAACUAAAAUUAUACACACUAGCAUCCUAGACCCAAAAUCGACCGGGAACCCAAAAAUUAAAAUAUGACCAUCGCCCCGGCGAUGCAUCAUUCAAAUUUCUGCCCUAUCAACUUUCGAUGGUAGGAUAGUGGCCUACUAGUCACCUACGAUGGUGGUGACGGGUGAUGGAGAAUUAGGGUUUGAUUCCUGAGAGGGAGCCUGAGAAACGGCUACCAUAUCCAAGGAGGGCA
RNAcentral lists this non-coding RNA (378 nucleotides) under Cephalotus follicularis. RNAcentral's name for it is "Eukaryotic small subunit ribosomal RNA". It matches the Rfam family "Eukaryotic small subunit ribosomal RNA", at positions 168 to 427 of the family's 1831-position model. The record is from Rfam by way of RNAcentral. Lineage: Eukaryota; Viridiplantae; Streptophyta; Magnoliopsida; Oxalidales; Cephalotaceae.